RNAcentral lists this small nuclear RNA (326 nucleotides) under Tursiops truncatus (common bottlenose dolphin). RNAcentral's name for it is "7SK RNA (ENSTTRG00000022038.1)". It matches the Rfam family "7SK RNA". From Rfam's summary of the family: 7SK was discovered as an abundant small nuclear RNA in the mid-70s but a possible function has only recently been suggested. Lineage: Eukaryota; Metazoa; Chordata; Mammalia; Artiodactyla; Delphinidae. The record is from RNAcentral.
AGAUAUGAGGGGAUUUGGCUGUGACAUCUGUCAUUCCAUUGAUCUCCAGGGUUGAUUUGGCUGAUUUGGCCGGCUAGGCAGCUGUCCCCUUCCUCACUACUGCGUAUGUUUCUACAGUAUGCUCUGUCGAAAAGGACAACGAUUCCCGAUGGAGGAGGAUCAUUCUUUAGUCAUUUUUUAGGGCAUACCAGUAGCCAUGCUCUCCUUUCCUUUUAGAAUCCCAAACAAGCUCUGUAAGGUCCAUUUGUAGGAGAACUUAGGGUAGUCAAGUUUCCAAACUCCAGGCACCUCCAAAUGAGGUGCUACCUGUGGCUGUCUGCCUUUUU